Pseudophryne corroboree (corroboree frog) is the source of this 1157-nucleotide long non-coding RNA. RefSeq lists it as uncharacterized. The record is from RefSeq and is a predicted model, not a curated record. Lineage: Eukaryota; Metazoa; Chordata; Amphibia; Anura; Myobatrachidae. The transcript has 5 exons.
GCACCGGCUAUUAUACAAGUGAGUGACCUAGCUGAUCUCCUCGGUGGAGGGGACGGGACUGGCUGCAGUACUGACUGAUUGUGCUGGCAGUACCUUAAUGCAUAUUGCCGGGGCACCAGCUAUAUUACUACUCACUUCACAGAUACUGAGUACUGACAAAGCCUCCUCUUCCUGCUCCACCCUGAGUCCCUGCCCCUCCUUCUUAUCUCCUCACCUUAUCUCCAGAGCUCUGCAACUCUGGAGUCUGAAAGACCUUCAAAAAUAACUGCCCGCCUCCCACCGCUGACCAGCGCUCACUUCUGCACGCUGCACCGCCAUUGAAAGCUGACCACCGCAGACCACAACUGGCGGUGGUCAGAGGGACAUCAACGCCUCAGCGAAGAAGGACAGCUUAGUACCGCCGCAUCCCCCGCAGACCAUGGGCUCAUCCGCCACCGACAACCACAGUCCCUUCCGCACCUCCGCUGCACAUAUCAGGUGAUGCGGGUUAUCCAAACAAAUCGUGGCUCUUGACCCCAUUGUCUAAUCCUGUUGGUAGAGCAGAAAAACGUUACCAAGAGACACACAUUGCAUCGAGGCAAAUAAUUGAACGUGCCUUCGGUGUACUUAAAAGCCGGUUUCGAUGUUUAGACACUUCCGGCGAUGCUCUUUUGUACUCACCGGCGAAGGUUUGCGGCAUGGUAAAUGCAUGUUGUAUUUUACACAACAUAUGUGUCGCAAACCGUUUGCCGGUGACUCUUCGUCGCAGUGCUUUCCGACGCGGGAACCGUUCUUCUGCUGUACCGGUGGGUAUGGAUGAAGGAGAUGAUUCCCGGCGGACAGUGAUACAAAACUUUUUUUCGGUUGCCUAGUUUUACGUCCUGUUGAUGUGCAUUCCCAGGCCUGUUUUGUCCUGUUGACGAAUCGUUACCCCCUGUUUUCUCCUGUUGUUGGUUUGCUGCAAAUUUUGGACCAUUUUAUCCAACUCUACCAUGGGCGACCUACUUGUGAUGUGGACCUGACCCUCCGCCAUGUAGCAGACAACCCCCCUCAGGUCUUGCGGUGUUUCCUUCCCAAGUGGCGUGGAUGUGAAGAGACACACAGUUCCCCUGAUGUUCCAUGGGCGACCAACUUGUGAUGUGGACCUGACCCUCCGCCAUGUAGCAGACAACUCCCCC